CUUUAUGGCCCUCCUUCUGGACCCAGUCUUUCAGGUCGAUGUCCUUCCUGUGUUGAGGGCUCCAGAGCUGGACUCAGUACUUCAGGGAAACCAACAUGUUAGGAGCUCCAGUUCACUUGGUAAUGCCAGCAAACUUCUCCCAAAGAGAAGAUCACUCUGAAAAGCAAAACCAUGUGGGAGAUGCAUCUACAGAGAGGCUGGCUGUAGUAUCAUGAGCCAGAAACCAGGCUGAGUAAAAGAUGAUCAUUAGAGGUUGAAUGGGUUUUGCAGCAUUGCAGUUGGAGAGUCAGAGCCUUUUCAGGAGGCUCACAAGGAGCAUGGGUUUUGUUCUUUCUGGUCAUAACUGAGUAUCUGCCUUGUGCCAGACUCACUGCUUGAAGUUCCAAUUAGAAGCACUAUGAAAUCCAAGAUUUUCUGGAGAUAUCCACCCUGUUUUCCAGUAUGGCAGAACUCUGUGGGUGAGUCCUCAAGGAUUUUGUUGCUGUAUGCCAAUGCUGAGAUAAGCAGAGAACACAAAUACUCAGAUCCUUCCAAAAACAGCCUGGCAAUUUCAUCAGUGCAAAUGCCAAUGACUGCUGCUGAUAAGAGAGAAGGGGAGAGCAGCAGGAGGAAAGAAUGUUUUGUUUCUGGUGCAUAACGUUGAAAGCAAACAAAAAAGUCCCUCUUGAGGAUAAAGGGGACUCUCAGAAGUGCUGUAGCCUGCUUGAGACAUGCAGAACCUUGUCCACAACCAGGCUAGAUUCUAGCAUUGCUUGUGCUGGCCAGACAACAAUGAACCCUUUGAACACA
Molecule: long non-coding RNA, 789 nt
Organism: Pogoniulus pusillus (Red-fronted tinkerbird)
Lineage: Eukaryota; Metazoa; Chordata; Aves; Piciformes; Lybiidae
Exons: 2
Source: RefSeq, a predicted model, not a curated record